CGGCCUAUUGUUACCUUUAAAAAUAUUAAAAGUCAACUAAAAACUAUCUAGAGCUCAUAAGGAUCUACUGAAGCAACACUAAGGCUACUAUGAGUAGGACACCUGUUUAUUGUUUACUAAGUCAGUGGUCCUCACCUGGGACAGACUGGGCCUGUCGUUAUUACAUUAUUUAAAGCAGGUGAGCUACCACACCAUCCCAGCUAUCAGAAUUUUAUGAUUCAUGAAUUCCAACAAUCACAAUAAAAAUAAAGCUGCAUUAUUUCCAACCAUCCCCCAUGCUCCUCACACAGGGCACCAAGUUUUCACAUAGCCAGAGAUGGUGUGGAUGUUGGCAUAUUUUGCUACUUGCUGUACAUGCCCAGUUUCUUAAUGAAUGCGGUCACUGGGAAACCAACCCCACUCCUUUUUCUAAUGACAAAGUACAAGAAUCAGUAAAAAAAAUAAGUAAAGCUUAGGGAUUGGGGGAAAAACUGUUUAUUAUCUAGCUCUUGUCUAUCUCGUAUGUUUAUGGUUCAAGGAUGUGCUAUUUAUUAACUGCCUCCCUCAAGUUAUAAAUCUUACACUCACACAAAGGCAUAGGGGUACAUUAGCUUCAAACUAUCUCCUAUAUCCAUUGAUCUAAACAGACAUGGGGAAAAUCAAAUUAACUCAAACCUCUUAUCUAAAUCAAAGUCUGCCAAGUCUGAAGGGGGAAAAAAAUUGUUUUGGGGGGAUGUGAAAAAAAAAAUAGCAAGAAAGAUGCUGUCUUUCUAGAAGCAACCCAAACCCAAAUCCCUGGACAAUUCUCUGGCUAUCUUUUCCUUAGGUAGUGGGAGUUAAGGAGACAGUCCUGACAGGAGCCUGCAUAACACAAAUCAAGAAAUUAUCCUCACAGCCAAGGCUGGUGACACCAUUCCUUAACCUGGCGGAGGGGAGCUUUUCAAGGCUUAUGAACCAGGAUCAUAUUAUUCCAUGUCUCUGAAGCUUGGGUCGGUCCCUCUGUCCUUUUCUCGUGCUAGUUUCUCUGUGAUUACGCAUUAAAAUGUAGAGCCAGUCAUCUCUGGCUCCUAGAGACUCCCAGGUUGAUGAAUGCACACCCGUCCUGGAAUUUCGCCUGAAGACCAGUAACGGGACUCGGUGUGCCCGGGCCUGUUCGGGGCACGCAGCGCAAGACCCGGCUCCGCAGGGUGGGAAGAUGCCCGAGCCCAGGGAGACCCGACCGAGACGCCCCCUCUCCUGCCCAGCGCGCCCCCUUCCGUCCCCAGCAAGAGAGCAAAGGUCCCAAGCCUCAAUCCGGGCUCAAGCGACCAAACCCCUUUCUAGAGUCUGGACCACUCACCAUUCGGGACAGAGCUGCCCCCAAAAGUUAAAAUGAGACAAACGGGCGGGAAGCCCCCAGCCCCGGGGCGGGGCCGGCCUAGAGCCCUGCGCUCCAGCUUUGGGAGCUCACCCAGGCCCGGGGAGGGCCAGCCUGGCUGCUCACGGGACCCUCCCUUGUUGGCCCGGCCGUGGCCGGGAACCCACGCGUGGCCGGUGCGCGCUGCCAGUGCUGCAGCUGAGGUUCGGGUUCGGCCCGCGCCCGGCGUGAACAAAGCGGCUGCCAAGGCCUGGGACUGAGGGGACUGAGCCGCCGGCUCCACGCCGCCCCCAGGCCCAGAAGAAACACCGACUGCGGGCCGGGCACAGCACCCGGCCGGGGAAAGGACGCCCCGAGUUACGCGCAAACUUCCUUUGAAUGGCGCCCAGCCUCAGGGCCGAUUCCCCGCGCCUAC
Molecule: long non-coding RNA, 1751 nt
Filed under: Homo sapiens (human)
Lineage: Eukaryota; Metazoa; Chordata; Mammalia; Primates; Hominidae
Description: HSALNT0323306
Source: RNAcentral